RNAcentral lists this transfer RNA (69 nucleotides) under Anomaloglossus tepuyensis. RNAcentral's name for it is "tRNA-Met". It matches the Rfam family "tRNA". From Rfam's summary of the family: Transfer RNA (tRNA) molecules are approximately 80 nucleotides in length. Their secondary structure includes four short double-helical elements and three loops (D, anti-codon, and T loops). Lineage: Eukaryota; Metazoa; Chordata; Amphibia; Anura; Aromobatidae. The record is from RNAcentral.
AGUAAAGUCAGCUAAUUAAGCUUUUGGGCCCAUACCCCAAAUAUGUCGGUUAAACCCCUUCCUUCACUA